This 811-nucleotide ribosomal RNA is filed under the name Pseudosplanchnonema phorcioides. Its description in RNAcentral is "partial 28S ribosomal RNA". It matches the Rfam family "Eukaryotic large subunit ribosomal RNA", at positions 106 to 934 of the family's 3401-position model. The record is from RNAcentral. Lineage: Eukaryota; Fungi; Ascomycota; Dothideomycetes; Pleosporales; Massarinaceae.
AGCUCAAAUUUGAAAUCUGGCUCCCUCUUUGGGGGUCCGAGUUGUAAUUUGCAGAGGGUGCUUUGGCGUUGGUGGCGGUCUAAGUUCCUUGGAACCGGACAUCGCAGAGGGUGAGAAUCCCGUAUGUGGUCGCCUGCCUUCGCCGUGUAAAGCCCCUUCGACGAGUCGAGUUGUUUGGGAAUGCAGCUCUAAAUGGGAGGUAAAUUUCUUCUAAAGCUAAAUACUGGCCAGAGACCGAUAGCGCACAAGUAGAGUGAUCGAAAGAUGAAAAGCACUUUGGAAAGAGAGUCAAAAAGCACGUGAAAUUGUUGAAAGGGAAGCGCUUGUCGCCAGACUUGCCCGCAGUUGCUCACCUGGGCUCCGGCCCGGGGCACUCUUCUGCGGGCAGGCCAGCAUCAGUUCGGGCGGUUGGAUAAAGGCCUCUGUCACGUAUCUUCCUUCGGGAUGACCUUAUAGGGGAGGCGACAUGCAACCAGCCCGGGCUGAGGUCCGCGCUUCGGCUAGGAUGCUGGCGUAAUGGCUGUAAGCGGCCCGUCUUGAAACACGGACCAAGGAGUCUAACAUCUAUGCGAGUGUUUGGGUGUCAAGCCCGAGCGCGCAAUGAAAGUGAACGCAGGUGGGAACCUUCGGGUGCACCAUCGACCGAUCCUGAAGUCUUCGGAUGGAUUUGAGUAUGAGCAUAGCUGUUGGGACCCGAAAGAUGGUGAACUAUGCUUGAAUAGGGUGAAGCCAGAGGAAACUCUGGUGGAGGCUCGCAGCGGUUCUGACGUGCAAAUCGAUCGUCAAAUUUGGGCAUAGGGCGAAAGACUAA